UACCGAGUGAGGGCCCGCCGGGUCCAACCUCCCACCCGUGUCUAUCGUACCUUGUUGCUUCGGCAGGCCCGCCCUCGCGGCCGCCGGGGGGCGCUUGCGCCCCCGGGUCCGCGCCUGCCGGAGACACAUCUCGAACGCUGUCUGAAGUUUGCAGUCUGAGCGAAAUAGCGAAAUUUUGAAAAAUUGUUAUCAACGGAUCUCUUGGUUCCGGCAUCGAUGAAGAACGCAGCGAAAUGCGAUAAGUAAUGUGAAUUGCAGAAUUCAGUGAAUCAUCGAGUCUUUGAACGCACAUUGCGCCCCCUGGUAUUCCGGGGGGCAUGCCUGUCCGAGCGUCAUUGCUGCCCUCAAGCCCGGCUUGUGUGUUGGGCCCCGCCCCCCUGUACGGGGGGCGGGCCCGAAAGGCAGCGGCGGCACCGCGUCCGGUCCUCGAGCGUAUGGGGCUCUGUCACCCGCUCUGCAGGCCCGGCCGGCGCCCGCCGACCCCCAACCAUAUUUUUUUCAGGUUGACCUCGGAUCAGGUAGGGAUACCCGCUGAACUUAAGCAUAUCAAUAAGCGGAGGAAAAGAAACCAACAGGGAUUGCCUCAGUAACGGCGAGUGAAGCGGCAAGAGCUCAAAUUUGAAAGCUGGCCCCCUCGGGGCCCGCAUUGUAAUUUGCAGAGGAUGCUUCGGGAGCGCCCAUCUAAGUGCUGGAACGGGCCGUCAUAGAGGGUGAGAAUCCCGUCUGGGAUGGGGUGCUCGCGCCCGUGUGAAGCUCCUUCGACGAGUCGAGUUGUUUGGGAAUGCAGCUCUAAAUGGGUGGUAAAUUUCAUCUAAAGCUAAAUAUUG
RNAcentral lists this ribosomal RNA (827 nucleotides) under fungal sp. MS346. RNAcentral describes it as "eukaryotic LSU rRNA". The stretch from base 505 to 827 matches the Rfam family "Eukaryotic large subunit ribosomal RNA", at positions 1 to 325 of the family's 3401-position model. Lineage: Eukaryota; Fungi. The record is from RNAcentral.